GACGUAGGUGGCGAACGUUAUCCGGAAUUAUUGGGCGUAAAGGGUGCGUAGGCGGCAUGAUAAGUUAUUGGCGGGAAAUCGAGGCUCAACCUCGUGGAAACUGAUAAUACUGUUUUGCUUGAGUACAGGAGAGGUUAACGGAACUCCAUGUGGAGCGGUAAAAUGUGUAGAUAUAUGGAAGAACAUCAAUAACGGCGAAGGCAGUUAACUAUUCUGUUACUGACGUUGAGGCACGAAAGCGUGGGGAGCAAAAAGG
RNAcentral lists this ribosomal RNA (256 nucleotides) under uncultured bacterium. Its description in RNAcentral is "partial 16S ribosomal RNA". It matches the Rfam family "Bacterial small subunit ribosomal RNA", at positions 524 to 776 of the family's 1533-position model. The record is from RNAcentral.